UGAGAGGAACUGCUCUUCGGUUAUAUAUAUGCUACCAUGUCCUAGACAAGCUUCUAUGUGCAAAAAACAAUGGCCGCUAAGAAGUUCAUCACUUUGGUGGUUCUCUUCAUUUUGAUGCUUCUCUUUACUUCAUCAAAAGUGGAAUCCAGAGUAGUAGCCGAGGCUUCCAAACUUGGUUCCAAGAGUCGGAAACUAGCAAGAGGACCAGUACCUCCGGCGGCUCCAAAUAUUCCAACUCACCCUGCGGGCCCUGGUGAUCGUAAACAUCGUCCGUGAUUGUGAUCCUCGCUCUAUAAGCGCCUUAACGUUCGAGGUGUGUAGCUCAUGAAUAAAAGGAGUGAGGGAUUUCGGCUUCUACCGCUUGCUGUUUUAUUUUUUAUUUUAAUUAUUUAAAUUUGGCAUUGUACUAGUUAUCAGUGAAGCACGGCUAGUCCCGCAUAUGCUUCUUCGAUAAAAAAUAGAAUACAAAAUAAAGGGCUAGUGUCAUUUUGGUAAAUUGGUAAUAUUUUGUGUAUCCACUCCAGGACCUUUGAAAUUAUUUAUGCAUGUGAUGUCCUCUCAGUAUAUAUUACUGAUUAGAAAAGGUACAAGAACACGAAUGAUAUUAUUGACAUUGUUGUAAAGAUGAUUCUCGAU
Quercus lobata is the source of this 636-nucleotide long non-coding RNA. RefSeq lists it as uncharacterized. The record is from RefSeq and is a predicted model, not a curated record. The transcript is spliced from 2 exons. Lineage: Eukaryota; Viridiplantae; Streptophyta; Magnoliopsida; Fagales; Fagaceae.